Long non-coding RNA from Ailuropoda melanoleuca (giant panda), 5243 nucleotides. RefSeq lists it as uncharacterized. NCBI's taxonomy places the organism in Eukaryota, Metazoa, Chordata, Mammalia, Carnivora, Ursidae. The record is from RefSeq and is a predicted model, not a curated record. The transcript is spliced from 3 exons.
GGGAGCAUUUGCCUCUGUGGGCCCUGCUCUCGUCUGGGAGGGGAGCGAUCCCUGGGAGGGGAGCGAUCGGGUUCUGGCUUGUGGGCACAGUCCGAAGGUCAAUGUUUCUGUGGCCACGCCUCCUUUAAAAAAUAAAUGCACUUUGUUGUGUUCAGUGAAUUCCCUUGGAAGUGCACUGCCUGGCUUGCUCGCGUGUGCUACUUGCUUCCACGAAAAGGAGUUGUGCGAUCUCCUAAAUGCAGUGUAUUCCAAGGCCUCUUGAACUCUUUCCAGAAGGAAGAGUUGGUUGUUUGGCUGACACCCUGGGUGCAGCCCCUGGCACCUUUCCCUUUUAAAAAGGUGGGUCCCUGCCCAGUUACCUUCGGCCUCUUGACCCCCUGAUGAAGGGGCUUCCCCAGCUGCAGCUGACAUUGUAUCGUGACUUCGGAUCACCGCUGGAGCCCUGGCCUGGGCGCUCUGUAUCCCGCUGCCCCGGAGCCUGGCGGGCCACCCUUGGCCUCCUUGUCGUCACAUCCUCCGCCUUUACUUACAAGGGCCCCAUGGGGCCAUUUGCUUUUAACCGAGAGCUCAAAACUCCAGGCCCAGUUGCUAUCUCCCUGAGACCCCAGGAGAAUGUAAUGUUUUCUGAAGCUAGGCCUCCCUGGAGGUGCCAGCCCAACACGCCUCUGACUCUUUUCUUUAAAGCCCAGAACCCACUGAGUUAAAAUACGUCGUCAGGGUGACUAGAAACCACUUGGACACAUUUGCCGACGCCGACUGUGUGCUCUCCCGCUGGGUCUGUGGACGCCUGGGCUGCCUGCACCGUGAUGCGUGUGGGGAAGCCCGGCUCCUAGAGGACGGGGCUCUAAUGCUACGGUCACUUUGUGCAGGAGGGGAAGUCUCAGGAAGAGUCGGGAGUGGGGGAAGGGGGGAAGCACGUCCUUGGGAAGGGAAUCCUGGUCAAGGUUAGAGGACUGGUUUGUAUGCAUCUGUAGUGCUUAACUGGGAAUAAUUUAUUCCAUUGUAGAUACUUUUUAGGUACCAUUUUAUUCGUUUCCUGCUCUUUUUUCAAUAAACGAAUGUGCAGGAAAGUGGGCAUCGAAUUGUUUAAAUGCUUUGGCUGCUUGUCCCCUGGUCCGGCUGAGGCCCAGAUCCCCCGGUUUAUCCCAACACACUCGGCAGGAGUUCACCAGAUGUUGUCUUUUCUGUGUGUUUAUGGUACCGGAUGCCAGGCUUUGGGCUGCCAGUGGGUAACUGAGAGGCCAGAGCCUUUUCUGUUCUGUCCUUGCUGAGACACCAUGAGCCUCUCUGCGUGACCAUUCCUGACACCCCCGUGGAGGUCUUGGGCCACCCUUGCCGUUGACCGAAAUGGAGCCCUAAGCCCCAUGCCGGUCACCGACCAGCAGAACAGAAGCAAAGGGAGGCUGGUGGGAAAGGGAAGCUCCAAUGGGCCCUCCACCAUUCACCUUGCCCUUGGAGAAGAGACCCAAGUGCACCGAGGAGAAAGGAUAUUGCAGUGUAAGAAACCACCCCACACUUAAGGAAGUUAGGAAUAGUCUUUAUUUUGCUCACAAAUCUGAGCAGAACUCAUCAGGGACAGCUUACCUCUCUGGGCAACUCAACUGGACUCUUCUUUCAAGAUGGUGGCAUCACUCAGCUGGUGAGUCUACAGGCUGCCCGCCAGGAGCUUUGAUUCCUCCUCCCCUGGACCAUUCUACAGGAUUUGGGGGGCUUUUUUGCAACACGGUGGCUGUGUUCCAAGAGCAGGUGUUCUCAGAGCAGAAAGUCAGAGCUGCCAGUGUCUGGAGACUUGGGCCAGGAAGCUGGCAUGGCGGCACUUCCAUUCCAGUCUCCGGGCACAUUCAUCACAGAGCCUGCACACAUUUGGGGGGGAAGCAAAGAACCCGCAUCUCAGUGGGAGAGGGGUCAAAGAGUUUGCAGCCAUCUGCUUCAGUGGGGCCAGGGAGAUUGGAGCCAAGUGUCCGAGCCCCUAGACAGCACCAACCAACACCUUUUUCUUGAUCACCGUGUUCACAUCUGGGCCACAUUCCACCUGUCUGGCUACCCUUCCUCCUGGAUCCUGUUCUUGGACUUCAAGCUUCAGUCUUUGGGCUUCUGGCCUUUUCGAUCAGCACACUGCCCCUUGGGGUUCUAACCAUGUCCUCUGUUCUAUGAUGAGAAUGCCCCUAUGUCCUAGCUGAUCCCCCCCUGGGCGUCAGGCCCACAUUUUCAGCAGUCUUCUGGGUUCAUCAGCUCACAUGUCCCCGUGUGCCGCAAACCUGAUCACUCCAGAGGCAAAUUCACUCUUUCUCAUCCACUCGCACUAAACCUUCAACGUGACUUCACUUCCUGACUCUGCCCCUAGCUAGCUGGGUGGUCUUGAGUUGUGUUCUGUUUCUCAAACGUCUACACAAGAGUCAGUCUUCCAAGGUCACAUCCAUCUCAAAAAUGCUUUGACUCUUCCCGUCACCCAGGCCCAGAUAUUGGACCGGACUUUGGUUCACCCCUGUCACUCACCCUGAUUGCUUUAGACCUUCUCCUCCUCUACCUUCCUUCUCCCUCCCACCACACUUCAUUGUGGGACCCCCUCGCUCUGACCACCUGUGCCUCCAGAUUCGACCCUCAGAAUAAAAUCCGUGAUCUGCUUCCCUUGGGACCACAGUACGGCACCUCCAGUUUCCUACCUGGUCCUCCUCAGCUCUCCGGAUAUCUCCCUCCGUUGAACCCAUGACCACAGAGCUCCAUCCUAAUGGCACUCAGAACCCUCAGGGGGUAUGAUGGGCACUCCUGCCCGAUUAGUGGUUCACGCCACUGUUCCCGGACGACCCUCUACCAGAAGCUGUGCUACCUAACCCCCCCCAUACCCCGCCAUGCAGAUCCUACCAGCACUUCUGAGUCUACCACUUCCUCCAAGAAGCCCUCCAGCCCCACCAAGCUCUCCCUCUAAAUGGCAAUCAUCCUUAGGAUGCCUGAUACUCAGCACUGAGGUACUUCAGUUCCUUUAAUUGGGAGUUGGUACUUGCCUGUGUCUUGCCCAGUGUGGUCUUACUUUUCUCAGAGGUAGGAGUCCAUGUCUUUAUACUUGGUUCAUCCUUCUCACGUUGCCCAGCACAGCAGACGCCCAGCAAUAGCAUCUGUUACGUUCAUGGUCAGAAUAGAGACAUCGUACUUCACCGGUGACAUCAGGCAGGUGUCAUACCGGAGACGGCCAGGUGGAGGGAAGGAAUUCGACGCCGGGCAAAUACCUUAUGCUAGAAGCUUUCAAGCCUUCUCUCACAGCAACCUCUGAUGAUCGCAGAGGUAAUGUUCCAUCUCCAGUUUACUGGUGAGAAAAGGACUCCCAGUGAAAUGGAGUCAUUCGCCCAAGGAUGCGAACACGCAAGUGGCGGGGCAGCAAAUGUCCUGCUCUGCAGCAGGUGGGGGGACAACACGACACAACUAGAGGUAAGGGGCUGUCAAAGUGGCCCAGGGCUCCCAUGAGAUCCUUUCCUUCCCCCUGUCUCUUCUCCUUCCUCCAGAAGACCAUGAACUUUGGGGGAAGAAGCCUCGGGAGCACAACACCCACCCAUAGGCCUCUGGACCUGGUGUCGGCAGCUCAUCCCCAGGUCAGGGAUGCCCAGGAAUCUGGUGUCAGAGCCAUAGAGCAAAGCACCCGCAGCUCAGCAAGCCCUGCCAAAUCCAGCUCCCCGACACUCAGCCCUGCCCUCAGCCACACCCCUGAUGGAUUCCUGUUCCCAAGAGAAGAGGGGAGUCACACUUUACACCUGCAUGCUUUCCAAGAUUGAUGCCACAUCAAGGUACCCUUGGCCUAAGCUCUACUCCAGAGGAAAGAGACUCACAGAUGAGAAGACUGGGGCUCAUUUUCUAGUCCAGCUGUGCCACAGUUUGCUGCUCCUUGAGAGGCCUCAGAGGACCAGUUGGGGAGUGGGCCGGUCUUUGAGGGAGUCCCUACUGCUGGGGCCCGUCACUGAAGAGUGUUCCAGAAGCAAAGCCACUGACGAAGCCGCAGGCCACUCGUCCACCAUGUGUCAAGGAGAUGGUGGAGAUCUAUCAAUUUGUGCACAUGGGUGCUAUGACCAGUAGUUUGGCCAGAUUUCAUCCCCCUCUGGUCAGAGAUCCCAGGUCACUCCCUGAGAGGCUACUGGCUAGAAAAGACUAGAAGGUAGAACAGCAGAAACGCUGCUCACACCCUGCUGGAAGCUUCUACACACCUCCAGUGAGUUGGAACGUCAUUGCUCCACACACUCCUCAACUGAUGAUCCUUCCAAUACAAGAUGUCUCUGGGGGGCUGCAAACCAGCCCUGGGAGAGGAGGUGUUGGGCUCCCCCCUGGAAAGAGGAGUCCGGGCACCAGCUACUGAAGCAACUUCAAAGCCCUUCAUCGGUUCUUCAUGUGGCCCCAGAUGUUCAGAUCUGACCUUUCAAAGACCCAGGCUAGAGGAACUAAACUCUGUUCCGACCUUAACCAUGGGACUAGGACUGUGAGGAGGUCAGGCUGCAAAACUCGCUUUGUGACUGCUCUGGAAUUUUAGGGGAAGCUAUAUUUUUAGCCAAAAUCCAAGUCCACAGGCCUGUGGGAGUGAAUGAAAGAGCCACUCGCUCUGCCUCAGACUUGGACUCAGUGUGUACUGUGGACCCUGGGUGCCCACUGGGGCUCAGGAGACCAGUAGGGACCCGUUCCAUUCUUGAUCCCUUUCCUUUCACAAGACCCUAAUUGCUUGGCUGGGAGCCACCUGCUAUGUCUCCUGAGCUAGUUUGCAGGCUGAAGAACAGCUGGAUCAUAGGCCAUCUCACCAAGUCUCUUCCCACCAUCACCCCCAUCUUACCCCUGCUCCCUGCAGCCACCCAGGAGGCCCAGCCUGCAGGCUAACUGUCAUGGGCCUUUGAUCUCAACUAAUGACACUUUCUCUUUUGAUUUGCAAAGUACUUUUACUGCAGCUUUAUCCCACGUGCAGCACUGGGUGCCUGGCACUUAACUCAAUAAACUCUGAAUUGGUUCUUACAACCACACUGGAGUCCCAGAGGGCUGAGUGUCUUCUUCUUUCUUUCUUUAAGUUUAAAUGAAGAAAUACAAAGAAUGUGUGUGGCUUUUACCUAAGGUCACCGGAAAGACCUAGGGGUGGACUCCAGCCUCCUGUUUGUGGAGUGGGAGAGGCACAGGGAGGGUCCUCCAAGACACCAGGUGGCACUCCAAAAUGCAUCUACAUGUGCACAACAAUGUGGAUGGACCUAGAAGGUAUUAUGAUGCUAAGUGAAAUAAGUCAG